This 69-nucleotide transfer RNA is filed under the name Bacteroides ovatus. RNAcentral describes it as "tRNA-OTHER". It matches the Rfam family "tRNA". From Rfam's summary of the family: Transfer RNA (tRNA) molecules are approximately 80 nucleotides in length. Their secondary structure includes four short double-helical elements and three loops (D, anti-codon, and T loops). RNAcentral also lists the same sequence under 1 other name. The record is from RNAcentral. Lineage: Bacteria; Pseudomonadati; Bacteroidota; Bacteroidia; Bacteroidales; Bacteroidaceae.
GGGCAGUUAGUUUACAUGGUAGAACGCAUCCACAUGGGUGAAAAACAGGUUCGAUUCCUGUACCGUCCA